GUUAUGGUGGUGUAGGUCAUAUUUUAUGAGCAAGACUGGAAUCCCCAGGUAGACAGGGCUCACCGAAUUGGUCAAACAAACCAUGUGUUAUCUAUAAAUCUAGUCACAGAGCAGACGGUCGAAGAGGUCAUUAUGCGUAGAGUAGAGCGCAACGGAAAUUAUAGCUUAGCCAGAAUAUUGUAGGAGAUGAUGUCUUGGAUCAGGAAGGGAAAGAGAUGGCAGGAGCUGAAGCUGGUGACUUGCGAUCUGUUAUACUUGGAUUGCAUAUGCUAGAUCCUGCAGAAAUAACCAAUGUGGAAUCGGAUGAAUAUGAUAGGACUGAGUUGACUGCAAUGGCAGAAACGAUUAUU
This is a non-coding RNA of Nicotiana tabacum (common tobacco), 350 nucleotides long. Lineage: Eukaryota; Viridiplantae; Streptophyta; Magnoliopsida; Solanales; Solanaceae. The record is from RefSeq and is a predicted model, not a curated record.